Molecule: small RNA, 126 nt
Filed under: Marmota monax (woodchuck)
Lineage: Eukaryota; Metazoa; Chordata; Mammalia; Rodentia; Sciuridae
Source: RNAcentral
GCUGGGCGCGGUGGCGCAUGCCUAUAAUCCCAUUGGCUGGGGAGGCUGAGGCAGGAGGAUCCAGAGUUCAAAGCCAGCCUCAGCAAUUUUAGCAAGGGCCUAAAACUCAGAGAGACUCUGUCUCUA